Molecule: non-coding RNA, 27 nt
Filed under: Homo sapiens (human)
Lineage: Eukaryota; Metazoa; Chordata; Mammalia; Primates; Hominidae
Source: RNAcentral
UGCUGGCCGAGGACCCCUGAGCGAUGA